Long non-coding RNA from Cavia porcellus (domestic guinea pig), 2122 nucleotides. RefSeq lists it as uncharacterized. The transcript has 5 exons. Lineage: Eukaryota; Metazoa; Chordata; Mammalia; Rodentia; Caviidae. The record is from RefSeq and is a predicted model, not a curated record.
UAGGGUUCCGGGCGGGUCGUUCCUGUGGCAUCUAGGGGUUGACUUUGAUCCCAGCUUCUAGAACGCGAUAGAUGGGAACACACCUGAUCCUACUCCUCGGGGUGCUGCGAAGGCCUCGGCGUGCCACGCCUCAUGCGCACCAAAGUGCUCUACCAACUUCUUGCUUCUUCAUGCUCAGACGUGCUUUGGAGGUUUUUCUGCUCAGUCCACAUCAGCCGUCUCACUGUAGGAGUUGCUGUUUGCUGUUCCUGGGUAAGAAUGUGCCACGUCUCACCCGGCCUGCAGAAGCCCUCCGCUGACCUCACACCUCUUCAACAUUCACGGGCACAGCCCUCUGGUCGUGCACUUCCUGCAGAACUACUCCAGGCUGUGCCAGAGCGGCCAGGAUGUGCUGAUAACCCGGAGGGAGAGGACCACGCUCAUCCCAUAGCCUUGGCUCCAGCAGCAGGAGGAGACCAGGCUGCACCGCACAGGAGCCAGAGGAGGAGCCCGUUGGGUGCCUGCGCCAGAGGACCCAGGAUUCAAAUGCUUCCUGUAGAGCCCUGUGUGCCACGCACAUGACUGAUCAGAACCCCACGGAUCAAUGGCGUCCCACGCCUGCAUUUGUCGUAGAUGCUACAGACUCCUUAACAGUGGAAGACGUGAGCUGAAGUCUGUGUAGGCUUCAAAGCCUCUGGUUUUUCUGCCCCCACCCUGCAAAUAGAAACAAGCUCCAAAAGAGUACGAAGAAGUUGCAUCAGAAGAUCCUAAAAGUAGGGCUAUUUUUUCAACAGUUUCUUCUUUUGACUUAGGAAAAGACCCCAUCAUGGUUGAUUUAGUCCAAGUCCAAUGCUAGGGGUUUUGUUCUGUUUUGCUUUUUUGUUGUACUGGGGAUUGAAUCCAAAGUCUUCACACUGAGUACAUCACCAGUCCUUCAAAGAAUUUUUUUUGCGACAGGAUCUCUUCAGUAGCCCAGGCAAGGCUCAAACUUGUGAUCCUCCUGCUUCAGCCUUCCCCAGUGCAAGAAUUACAGGUGGUGCCACCAUAUCUGGCUUCAAUGCUCGUUCUUUAAUACUGGUCAUUUUACCUGUGGAACAGAAGUAGAUGACUGCAUAGGUUUUGUUUGUUUCUUGAAAUAGGCCCAGGCUGGUUUCAAAGCCCCGGACUCCGGUGAUCCCCUGCCUCAGCUUCCUCAGUAGCUGGGACCACAGGCAUGUGACACCACGCCUGGUUUAUGACAGCAUCUUCAUUCACUGUCAUGUAUAUUAGUUGCUAUUUUGUCUGUCUUGAAUACCGCUAACCUGCUUCUUCAUGCAGAAAUGUCUCUCACAUUUCAAGAGCCACCUGACAAGUCGCCCCAUCCGGUUUUCCCAUUGUGCACCCCGAGCUUCACAAACACCCCACUGGGAACCUUCUCCUGUAAUGGCAGCAGCUGCUCGGGGUCACUUCCUGGGUGCCAGGCACUGUGGGACACACUUGACCUAUCGUAACGCAGUGCUCACCACAGUGCUAAGUUCCAUCACCAUGGCGCCAAGUAUGGCAGCAUGGAGAGGUCACACAGCACGUGGCAGGGCCCGGCUUGAACUCAGCUGUCUUCAAAGCUCUCGGGUACCUCAGCCUUCUCCCGGGUCCCUCAGCCUUCUCCCGGGUCAUGGGCUCUUUGCCCAUCUCUGUGACCUGACUUUAUGGUCCUUGGGUCCAAGGAGCCUUUCUCUCUCUCUCGGGUCUGAUGUCAGUGACUGAUUCACUGUCAUGUGGUCAGCUGUGGCAGCCCGGUGCUAAUUUCUGUCCUCUUUUCUAGGAAGUUCCUGCAUUUUGUCUUCCAGCUCUUACUUUUAAAAACUGUCCUAUAAUGUUAUUUUCCUAGUUUUAGUUCUCUCUUAUAUCUUGGUUUUUCCUUUUUCAUAGUACCCUCUUGCCAUAGAUACAAGAUUUUCAUCCCUUAUUGAUGAUAUUCAUCCUUAAAAAGAAGUUUCUGCCAGUGUAGUGCCAUGUCUGUAAUCCCAGCACUAAGGAGGCUGAGGCAGGAGGAUUUCUGCAAGGUUGAGGCCAGACUGGGCUACAAAGUGAGUUCAAGGCCAGCCUGAACUGCAUAGCAAGACUCUGUCUCAAAAAGACCAAAAUAAAGUUUCUCUUUACCCCA